Molecule: ribosomal RNA, 253 nt
Filed under: uncultured bacterium
Lineage: Bacteria
Description: partial 16S ribosomal RNA
Rfam family: Bacterial small subunit ribosomal RNA
Source: RNAcentral
UACGUAGGUGGCAAGCGUUGUCCGGAUUUAUUGGGUUUAAAGGGUGCGUAGGCGGCUUUGUAAGUCAGUGGUGAAAUAUGGCAGCUCAACUGUCAGGGUGCCAUUGAUACUGCAGAGCUUGAGUACAGAUGAGGUAGGCGGAAUUGACGGUGUAGCGGUGAAAUGCUUAGAUAUCGUCAAGAACACCGACAGCGAAGGCAGCUUACUGGGCUGUAACUGACGCUGAGGCACGAAAGUGUGGGGAUCAAACAGG